AACAAUAGGGUUUUUGUUUGUUUGUUUGUUUGUUUGUUUGUUUUAAGGUGAUGUAAUUAUGGCUGGAGGAAGUUUUGACAUACCAGACCCCCAUCUUCCAGGUGCUUGUCAGUUUAUCCUCCCCGGAACCACCACCCAUUCAUGGCUGAUCAGCUACUUAUCAGUAAUCACUCUACUGGAUGCUAAGAGUACAUUGGAUCGCACACACUCGUAAGCCUGUGUCCAAGGGGGAACAACGGGAAUUGCCCACCGAGUACAAGACAGCAGUGCGCGCUCUGGAAAGCCCGGAGCAAGUUCCGCGUAAAUCAAUUAUGUCCCCCUCCAGGCUAGGUCACAGUUGGGGAGGCCACUGGGGCUGGGAAGGGCUGGGGCGGCUCUGGGUCAGUUCAGCUCCACUCACUCUCCUACGGGAUCGCUUUUCCCGUCAGUCAGGCCUCAGGGGGCGGGCACUGGGUCAGUAGCCAAUCAGGCUCUCGGGGGCGGGGCGGUCUUGCCGUCCCAGCAGGCGCGCUCAGGAAGGAGGGCUGGUGCUGCGGCCGGCGCGUCGGAGGUUCUCUGCCCCCGCCAGGCUCCAAACCCUGUCUCAGUUUCUGUUGGCUGUGAACUCCACUGACCGCAGGAGCUGUAGGGAGGACGCCAGAGACUCCUCCCAAGUCGGAAAAUGGAUGAACUCAGUUCCCCAAUGGACAAGUUGUGACAACAUGCAUGAAAUAGCGUCUACCAGGACUCGGUGGCUUUUCAGGAUGUGGCUGUGGACUUCACCCGGGCAGAGUGGGCUUUGUUGGAUCCUUCCCAGAAGAAUCUCUACAGAGAUGUGAUGCGGGAAACUUUCAGAAACCUGGC
Molecule: non-coding RNA, 843 nt
Organism: Ictidomys tridecemlineatus (thirteen-lined ground squirrel)
Lineage: Eukaryota; Metazoa; Chordata; Mammalia; Rodentia; Sciuridae
Source: RefSeq, a predicted model, not a curated record